GUAACGACCCGAAAAUCGGACCGCUACCGGCGCUAGGAUCCGGGUCGACUUAAGGCCGCCGGGACCCGUAGCAAGCCUGACAUAAGACCUGUAAACCUGUAUAAUCCCAUACAUGAUCAACAAUAAGCAUAAAAAUUAAAACUUUCCUUUGCAUACUCAUCAACCAAACUCAACCUGUGCAUAAACAUUAACAUAACCUUGAUCCCUCUGUGGGAUCUCAUCUGUGCCCUCAAUGGGUAACAUACAUCUGUUGAGUUGGUUUACAUAAACAUCAACAAAAUCUCUAAGAUCAUGUAUAAAAGGGAUACAACAAUCUAUGGUCAAGCACAUACUAACAUCCAUAAAACUCAUUACAUAACUAUACUGUACUUUUACAUUACAAUUUGAUCAUGUCCAUUGCUAGCUAUUACAUAAACAUGACUUCUUUACUCUAUCCGGACUCCCGCACUAUACUGUACCUGCAAGCCUGGGGGUAAAGGGAGAGGGG
This 487-nucleotide long non-coding RNA is filed under the name Manihot esculenta (cassava). RNAcentral describes it as "long non-coding RNA (MESC_LNC002625)". Lineage: Eukaryota; Viridiplantae; Streptophyta; Magnoliopsida; Malpighiales; Euphorbiaceae. The record is from RNAcentral.